This 433-nucleotide ribosomal RNA is filed under the name uncultured bacterium. RNAcentral describes it as "partial 16S ribosomal RNA". It matches the Rfam family "Bacterial small subunit ribosomal RNA", at positions 29 to 507 of the family's 1533-position model. The record is from RNAcentral.
AACGAACGCUGGCGGCAUGCCUAACACAUGCAAGUCGAACGAGAGCUUCGGGUCUAGUGGCGCACGGGUGCGUAACGCGUGGGAACCUGCACUUAGGUUCGGAAUAACUCCCCGAAAGGGGUGCUAAUACCGGAUAAUGUCUUCGGACCAAAGAUUUAUCGCCUUUGGAUGGGCCCGCGUUGGAUUAGCUAGUUGGUAGGGUAAAAGCCUACCAAGGCGACGAUCCAUAGCUGGUCUGAGAGGAUGAUCAGCCACACUGGGACUGAGACACGGCCCAGACUCCUACGGGAGGCAGCAGUGGGGAAUAUUGGACAAUGGGCGAAAGCCUGAUCCAGCAAUGCCGCGUGAGUGAUGAAGGCCGUAGGGUUGUAAAGCUCUUUUACCCGGGAUGAUAAUGACAGUACCGGGAGAAUAAGCUCCGGCUAACUCCGUG